RNAcentral lists this ribosomal RNA (486 nucleotides) under uncultured bacterium. Its description in RNAcentral is "SSU rRNA". It matches the Rfam family "Bacterial small subunit ribosomal RNA", at positions 26 to 521 of the family's 1533-position model. The record is from RNAcentral.
AGGACGAACGCUGGCGGCGUGCCUAACACAUGCAAGUCGAACGAGGUCCAACCGGUGGCAACACUGGUGAAGACCGAGUGGCGAACGGGUGAGUAACACGUGAGCAACCUGCCUCGAAGACUGGGAUAACCCCGGGAAACCGGAGCUAAUACCGGAUACCCCCACCGGGUCGCAUGGCCUGGUGAGGAAAUGGAUUCCGCUUUGAGAGGGGCUCGCGGCCUAUCAGCUUGAUGGUGGGGUAAUGGCCUACCAUGGCACCGACGGGUAGCUGGUCUGAGAGGACGAUCAGCCACACUGGGACUGAGACACGGCCCAGACUCCUACGGGAGGCAGCAGUGGGGAAUCUUGCGCAAUGGGCGAAAGCCUGACGCAGCAACGCCGCGUGUGGGACGAAGGCCUUCUGGGUUGUAAACCACUUUCAGCAGGGACGAUUGUGACGGUACCUGCAGAAGAAGCCCCGGCCAACUACGUGCCAGCAGCCGCGGU